CAUCUUCACAUACAGUUCUCUCGUCUUCUGGAUCGGAUACAUUUGACAGAAAGAGAAAUUGAGUGAGAGAGUAGAGAGCGAAAAGAGGUUUGACCCCCUCUCUCAGAAGA
Molecule: non-coding RNA, 110 nt
Organism: Caenorhabditis elegans
Lineage: Eukaryota; Metazoa; Nematoda; Chromadorea; Rhabditida; Rhabditidae
Source: Ensembl